Molecule: transfer RNA, 36 nt
Filed under: Agriocnemis femina
Lineage: Eukaryota; Metazoa; Arthropoda; Insecta; Odonata; Coenagrionidae
Description: tRNA-Leu
Source: RNAcentral
AUUUAAAAAUAAUUUUUUAUUAAUGAAUAUUAUUAA